RNAcentral lists this ribosomal RNA (406 nucleotides) under Lactiplantibacillus plantarum. Its description in RNAcentral is "bacterial SSU rRNA". It matches the Rfam family "Bacterial small subunit ribosomal RNA", at positions 54 to 433 of the family's 1533-position model. The record is from RNAcentral. Lineage: Bacteria; Bacillati; Bacillota; Bacilli; Lactobacillales; Lactobacillaceae.
CAUGCAGUCGAACGAACUCUGGUAUUGAUUGGUGCUUGCAUCAUGAUUUACAUUUGAGUGAGUGGCGAACUGGUGAGUAACACGUGGGAAACCUGCCCAGAAGCGGGGGAUAACACCUGGAAACAGAUGCUAAUACCGCAUAACAACUUGGACCGCAUGGUCCGAGCUUGAAAGAUGGCUUCGGCUAUCACUUUUGGAUGGUCCCGCGGCGUAUUAGCUAGAUGGUGGGGUAACGGCUCACCAUGGCAAUGAUACGUAGCCGACCUGAGAGGGUAAUCGGCCACAUUGGGACUGAGACACGGCCCAAACUCCUACGGGAGGCAGCAGUAGGGAAUCUUCCACAAUGGACGAAAGUCUGAUGGAGCAACGCCGCGUGAGUGAAGAAGGGUUUCGGCUCGUAAAACUC